Non-coding RNA from Trichonephila clavipes, 72 nucleotides. The record is from the annotation of a GenBank genome assembly. Lineage: Eukaryota; Metazoa; Arthropoda; Arachnida; Araneae; Nephilidae.
AUCCUGAAGCGCAAGGAAUAGUGCGAUGGACUACUAAUCCAAAGGUCGUAGGUUCGAAUCCUACCUGGGAUG